RNAcentral lists this ribosomal RNA (253 nucleotides) under uncultured bacterium. RNAcentral describes it as "partial 16S ribosomal RNA". It matches the Rfam family "Bacterial small subunit ribosomal RNA", at positions 524 to 776 of the family's 1533-position model. The record is from RNAcentral.
UACAGAGGUCUCAAGCGUUGUUCGGAUUCAUUGGGCGUAAAGGGUGCGUAGGCGGCGCGGUAAGUCGGGUGUGAAAUCUCGGAGCUUAACUCCGAAACUGCAUUCGAUACUGCCGUGCUUGAGGACUGGAGAGGAGACUGGAAUUUACGGUGUAGCGGUGAAAUGCGCAGAUAUCAGGAAGAACACCAAUGGCGAAGGCAGCUCUCUGGGCCAUUACUGACGCUGAGGAGCGAAAGCGUGGGGAGCGAACAGG